Melanotaenia boesemani (Boeseman's rainbowfish) is the source of this 537-nucleotide long non-coding RNA. RefSeq lists it as uncharacterized. The transcript is spliced from 2 exons. The record is from RefSeq and is a predicted model, not a curated record. Lineage: Eukaryota; Metazoa; Chordata; Actinopteri; Atheriniformes; Melanotaeniidae.
GUUGGAAGCACGAAUAUCUCAGAACGCUGCAGCUUCGGCACAAGUGGCAAGGACAACGGACAAGCCUUCAAGAAGGGGACAUCGUCCUUCUAAAAGACAGCCUGGCAAAGAGGAACCAAUGGCCUAUGGGCGUCAUCACAAAGACCUUUCCUGGAGAAGAUGGGCUGGUUCGGAAGGUUGAAGUGGAAGUUGUCAAAGAUGGACACAAAAAGACUUUCUUCCGCCAUAUCGCAGAAGUUGUUCUGCUCCUCUCUCCAAAGACUGAUUUUGUUCGUAAAUGUGGGCUCUCUUGAGACCCCAAGCAGGGAGUGUUAUGCUUCAGGCAAAUGUUGUUUAUUCAGUUCAGCAUCAUAGGUUUAGUUAAAGCAAUCUGUGAGCAGUGCAUGCUGGGAAACCAGGAGGAGGAGUUUGCAGUCAGUUUCCAGCUCCUGUCAUGUAAGCACACAUAGCUGUCAGCUCCUCAGUUUGGACAAUUCUUUCUCCUUUUGCUCAGGCAACAUCUUUUCACAAAGUCUCAGUAAACUCUAUGGAAGUUAA